This 2811-nucleotide ribosomal RNA is filed under the name soil metagenome. RNAcentral describes it as "bacterial LSU rRNA". The stretch from base 5 to 2132 matches the Rfam family "Bacterial large subunit ribosomal RNA", at positions 15 to 2044 of the family's 2925-position model. The record is from RNAcentral.
UGAAGAGCCAACGGUGGAUGCCUUGGCGCCAGAUGCCGAUGAAGGACGUGGGUGGCUGCGAAAAGCCACGGGGAGCUGCCGACCAAGCUUUGAUCCGUGGAUAUCCCAAUGGGGAAACCCGGCUGGGGUCAUGCCCAGUCACCCCUGCCUGAACACAUAGGGCAGGUGGAGGGAACCGGGGGAACUGAAACAUCUCAGUACCCCGAGGAAUGGAAAGCAACUGCGACUCCCCGAGUAGCGGCGAGCGAAACGGGAAGAGCCCAAACCGUCGUAGUGGUACAGCCUGCCGGCGAUGCUGCGACGGGGUUGUGGGACCCGCCAGAAGGGACGGCAGACCCUUCAGGGAGUUAUCAAGUCAUCGAGGAGUGGAAGCGCUCUGGAAAGGCGCGCCACAGAGGGUAAUGGCCCCGUACACGAACCUUGAAUGACCUCCCGGUGGUGUUCCCAAGUAGUACGGGAUCCGGGAAAGCCCGUACGAAUCUGCGAGGACCACCUCGUAAGGCUAAGUACACGCUGGCGACCGAUAGUGCACGAGUACCGUGAGGGAAAGGUGAAAAGUACCCCGGGAGGGGAGUGAAAUAGAACCUGAAACCGUUGGCUUACAAGCAGUCAGAGCGGAGCUUGCUCCGUGAUGGCGUGCCUUUUGAAGAAUGAGCCGGCGAGUUACCGUUCGUGGCGAGGUUAACCCGAGAGGGGGAGCCGGAGCGAAAGCGAGUCUGAAUGGGGCGUUUAGUCGCGAACGAUAGACCCGAAGCCGAGUGAUCUAUCCAUGGGCAGGCUGAAGCGAGGGUAAGACCUCGUGGAGGGCCGAACCCACCAAGGUUGAAAACUUGGGGGAUGACCUGUGGAUAGGGGUGAAAGGCCAAGCAAACUCGGUGAUAGCUGGUUCUCCCCGAAAUGCAUUUAGGUGCAGCGUCGGGCGUUCAGCAUCGGAGGUAGAGCACUGAAUGGGCUAGGGGGCCUACAAGCUUACUGACCCCAAUCAAACUCCGAAUGCCGAUGCUCCAGAGUCUGGCAGUGAGACCACGAGGGAUGAGCUUCGUUGGUCAAAAGGGAAACAGCCCAGACCGCCAGCUAAGGCCCCAAAUUCUAGGCUAAGUGGAAAACGAUGUGGGAACGCAGAGACAGCCAGGAGGUUGGCUUAGAAGCAGCCACCCUUGAAAGAGUGCGUAAUAGCUCACUGGUCGAGUGAUCCUGCGCCGACAAUGUAACGGGGCUCAAGCACAGUGCCGAAGCUGCGUCAUGCGUAUGCAUGGGUAGGGGAGCGUCGAUCUCUGCAGUGAAGCGACCGGGGAACCGUGUCGUGGAGCGUGGUCGAGUGCGAAUGCCGGUAUGAGUAGCGAACGAGGGGGGAGGAACCCCUCCGCCGAAUGCCCAAGGGUUCCUGGGGAAGGCUCAUCCGCCCAGGGUUAGUCGGGAGCUAAGGCGAGGUCGAAAGACGUAGUCGAUGCACAACAGGUUGAUAUUCCUGUACCACCAUGUGCGCGCCCAACCUAAUGGCGAAGCGAUCGGGGGCUGCCCUUCGGGGCGAACCCGGCCCGUGCGCCGGCAGGUAGCGAUGGGGGGACGCAGGAGGGUAGGUCUACCGGGCGAUGGUUGACCCGGAGCAAGCAUGUAGGGGGACCGGUAGGUAAAUCCGCCGGUCAUCAACCCCGAGAUGUGAUGCCGAACCGCUUCAGGUGAAGUGACUGAUCCCAUGCUGCCGAGAAAAGCCCCUAGCGAGCUCACAUGGUGCCCGUACCCCAAACCGACUCAGGUGGGCACGUAGAGAAUACGAAGGCGAUCGGGAUAACUCUGGUUAAGGAACUCGGCAAAUUGCCCCCGUAACUUCGGAAGAAGGGGGGCCUCAAUAGAGUGAUGGACUUCGCGUCCUGAGCUCGAGGAGGCCGCAGAGACCAGGGCCAAGCGACUGUUUACUAAAAACACAGGUGCGUGCUAAGUCGUAAGACGAUGUAUACGCACUGACGCCUGCCCGGUGCCGGAAGGUUACGGGGAAGGGUUAGCCGCAAGGCGAAGCUCUGAACCUAAGCCCCGGUAAACGGCGGCCGUAAGGACAAUUGCGGCUCUCGGGAGGUAACUCCCGAGAACAAACUCCGCUAUAUGCUGGAAACCCCGAGUAUCCGGCGGUACUGGUCGUGUCGUGUCACACCCAGUUGGUUGGGUGUGGACGUGACCAGUGACAAUCCGACCGGUGCGGACAAUCAGCAGGAAAGGCUCGGCUCAACAACCUGGCUGGACGCAGUUGAACCCGACCUCGGUCAUUACGUGGCGGGUUUCGUCGACGGUGAGGGGAGCUUCAACGUCCCUAUCCGUCGAGAACGCGACCGGUCGCUGCCAUGGCGUGUCUCGCUAUCGUUCAACGUCUCCCAGAUCGGCGUGGAAGCUCCCAAGCUUCUCCGCUCGGUCUUCGGCGUAGGAACGGUGCGCGGGCGCCUUGACGGCGUCUUCUACUUCGAAGUCACGAAGCCGAACGAGCUCGAAGCGCGGGUCUUUCCGUUCUUCGACCGGUUUCCGCUCCGUGGCGCGAAGUCAUGCGAUCUGAUGGUCUUCCGUCAGAUCGCCGGUCUGGUCCAGGCUGGCCAUCACUUGUCUGCCGCAGGAAUUGAGGACAUCCUCGCUCUGAGGGGUCCCAUGAACCGCGGGGGAAAGCGACGCCGGAGCGACGCUGAAAUCGUCGCCGUGUUGAGGAGCCGAGAAUCCUCAGAGGCCAUACGCGGAGCUCCCUCGUAGAAGCCGAGGGAUGAAGAUAUGGUCCACGCCCCAUGGCGACAUGGGGAAUCCGUGAACUAUAACGGUCCUAAGGUAGCGAAA